RNAcentral lists this ribosomal RNA (587 nucleotides) under uncultured bacterium. RNAcentral's name for it is "bacterial SSU rRNA". It matches the Rfam family "Bacterial small subunit ribosomal RNA", at positions 338 to 916 of the family's 1533-position model. The record is from RNAcentral.
CCUACGGGAGGCAGCAGUAGGGAAUCUUCCGCAAUGGACGAAAGUCUGACGGAGCAACGCCGCGUGAGCGAUGAAGGCCUUCGGGUCGUAAAGCUCUGUUGUCAGGGAAGAACAAGUACCGGAGUAACUGCCGGUACCUUGACGGUACCUGACCAGAAAGCCACGGCUAACUACGUGCCAGCAGCCGCGGUAAUACGUAGGACCCGAGCGUUGUCCGGAAUUACUGGGUGUAAAGGGCGUGUAGGUGGGUCGCUAAGUCGGUGGUGAAAUCCUGCAGCUUAACUGCAGAACUGCCUCCGAUACUGGCGGUCUUGAGUGCGGCAGAGGGAGAUGGAAUUCAUGGUGUAGCGGUGAAAUGUGUAGAUAUCAUGAAGAACACCGGUUGCGAAGGCGAUCUCCUGGUCCGCUACUGACACUGAGGCGCGAAAGCGUGGGUAGCAAACAGGAUUAGAUACCCUGGUAGUCCACGCCCUAAACGAUGGGCACUAGGUGUGGGAGGUAUCGACCCCUUCCGUGCCGCAGCUAACGCAUUAAGUGCCCCGCCUGGGGAGUACGGCCGCAAGGUUGAAACUCAAAGGAAUUGACGG